RNAcentral lists this ribosomal RNA (466 nucleotides) under Staphylococcus hominis subsp. novobiosepticus. RNAcentral describes it as "bacterial SSU rRNA". It matches the Rfam family "Bacterial small subunit ribosomal RNA", at positions 587 to 1049 of the family's 1533-position model. The record is from RNAcentral. Lineage: Bacteria; Bacillati; Bacillota; Bacilli; Caryophanales; Staphylococcaceae.
GUCUGAUGUGAAAGCCCACGGCUCAACCGUGGAGGGUCAUUGGAAACUGGAAAACUUGAGUGCAGAAGAGGAAAGUGGAAUUCCAUGUGUAGCGGUGAAAUGCGCAGAGAUAUGGAGGAACACCAGUGGCGAAGGCGACUUUCUGGUCUGUAACUGACGCUGAUGUGCGAAAGCGUGGGGAUCAAACAGGAUUAGAUACCCUGGUAGUCCACGCCGUAAACGAUGAGUGCUAAGUGUUAGGGGGUUUNCGCCCCUUAGUGCUGCAGCUAACGCAUUAAGCACUCCGCCUGGGGAGUACGACCGCAAGGUUGAAACUCAAAGGAAUUGACGGGGACCCGCACAAGCGGUGGAGCAUGUGGUUUAAUUCCAAGCAACGCGAAGAACCUUACCAAAUCUUGACAUCCUUUGACCCUUCUAGAGAUAGAAGUUUCCCCUUCGGGGGACAAAGUGACAGGUGGUGCAUGGU